AGCGAACGCUGGCGGCAGGCCUAACACAUGCAAGUCGAACGAACUCUUCGGAGUUAGUGGCGGACGGGUGAGUAACACGUGGGAACGUGCCUUUAGGUUCGGAAUAACUCAGGGAAACUUGUGCUAAUACCGAAUGUGCCCUUCGGGGGAAAGAUUUAUCGCCUUUAGAGCGGCCCGCGUCUGAUUAGCUAGUUGGUGAGGUAAAGGCUCACCAAGGCGACGAUCAGUAGCUGGUCUGAGAGGAUGAUCAGCCACAUUGGGACUGAGACACGGCCCAAACUCCUACGGGAGGCAGCAGUGGGGAAUCUUGCGCAAUGGGCGAAAGCCUGACGCAGCCAUGCCGCGUGAAUGAUGAAGGUCUUAGGAUUGUAAAACUCUUUCACCGGGGACGAUAAUGACGGUACCCGGAGAAGAAGCCCCGGCUAACUUCGUG
RNAcentral lists this ribosomal RNA (433 nucleotides) under uncultured bacterium. RNAcentral's name for it is "partial 16S ribosomal RNA". It matches the Rfam family "Bacterial small subunit ribosomal RNA", at positions 29 to 507 of the family's 1533-position model. The record is from RNAcentral.